GGUGAUGUAGCUCAGUCGGUUAGAGCAUCGGAUUCAUAAUCCGGGGGUCGGCAGUUCAAGUCUGCCCAUCACCACCA
This 77-nucleotide transfer RNA is filed under the name Thiobacillus sp. RNAcentral describes it as "tRNA-Met". It matches the Rfam family "tRNA". From Rfam's summary of the family: Transfer RNA (tRNA) molecules are approximately 80 nucleotides in length. RNAcentral also lists the same sequence under 6 other names. Lineage: Bacteria; Pseudomonadati; Pseudomonadota; Betaproteobacteria; Nitrosomonadales; Thiobacillaceae. The record is from RNAcentral.